GGUGUGCUGGUUGAAAGAGGAGAAGACAUAAUCAAGGGGAUUUCUCAAAUGUAAUUUACUAACUUAUCCUACUACAUACAUGUAGGCAUAUGAGCAGUGAGCACUAUAUUCAAAUGUCUCAAUUCAAAAUGUCUAUCAAUUCAAAAAGCCAAAAUCAAUACUAUAUAUUGCAGCAUUGUGGGUCGGUCAAAUAUGUAUUUUUCCGACUUUAUUUCACGGGCCCUGAAAGCAACUCCUCUGAUUGGUCAAAAACUUUCAAAAGCAUCAUGGGAAAGC
Sander lucioperca (pikeperch) is the source of this 276-nucleotide long non-coding RNA. RefSeq lists it as uncharacterized. The record is from RefSeq and is a predicted model, not a curated record. NCBI's taxonomy places the organism in Eukaryota, Metazoa, Chordata, Actinopteri, Perciformes, Percidae. The transcript is spliced from 3 exons.